AGAGAAGAGAGCCCUGUGAUGUCUAGGAUCCAUCUUAAUUAGAAGGUACCUUUUUUUUAGUCCUCAUUUUUAGGAAACAUGGAUUAAGCAGUGUCUAUUGGCCACUUCAGCGCUCCCAUUUUAAGUCUGCAAAUUUGUCUAGUAGGUUUUCCUUCUGUUAUCUGCGUAACUUUUCCAUGGACUAGCCUAUCGAGGAAACAGGCAUGCCUUGCUUUGUGUGCCAUUAGACUCGUUUGUGCAGCGAAAACCCAAAAAGGAAAAAUGUUAAACAGAAUCAAAAGUUACUGUUAACUCAUUUCUUGACCUUGUGACUUAGUGGAGAUAAAUCUCUUUAAUCGUGAAGGCUUUCUACGUUUGUUAUUCUCUCAGGGUACAGUGAUUUUACUGUAUCACUUACUGAUGCCAUUUUCUUAUUCAAUCAUUUGUCUUUUUCAUUUAUUUUAAUUUGUGCUUCAUGGAUGGAAUUUU
RNAcentral lists this unclassified non-coding RNA (468 nucleotides) under Hevea brasiliensis (rubber tree). Lineage: Eukaryota; Viridiplantae; Streptophyta; Magnoliopsida; Malpighiales; Euphorbiaceae. The record is from RNAcentral.